RNAcentral lists this ribosomal RNA (871 nucleotides) under bacterium enrichment culture clone R907-8. Its description in RNAcentral is "bacterial SSU rRNA". It matches the Rfam family "Bacterial small subunit ribosomal RNA", at positions 26 to 896 of the family's 1533-position model. The record is from RNAcentral.
AGGACGAACGCUAGCGGCAGGCCUAAUACAUGCAAGCCGAACGGUAAUCCUGACGGCAACGUCAGGACUAGAGUGGCGUAAGGGUGCGUAACACGUAUGCAAUCUGCCCUCAACUGGGGGAUAGCUCCCGGAAACGGGAAUUAAUACCCCAUAACAUGCCAGCGAGGCAUCUUGCUGGCAUUAAAGCUACGGCGGUUGAGGAUGAGCAUGCGUCUGAUUAGCUAGUUGGUGAGGUAACGGCUCACCAAGGCGAUGAUCAGUAGGGGAGCUGAGAGGUUGAUCCCCCACACUGGCACUGAGACACGGGCCAGACUCCUACGGGAGGCAGCAGUAGGGAAUAUUGGACAAUGGGUGCGAGCCUGAUCCAGCCAUGCCGCGUGCAGGAAGAAGGCCUUCUGGGUUGUAAACUGCUUUUAUCUGGGAAUAAAAAACCCGUGCGCGGGGAACUGAAGGUACCAGAUGAAUAAGCCACGGCUAACUACGUGCCAGCAGCCGCGGUAAUACGUAGGUGGCGAGCGUUGUCCGGAUUCAUUGGGUUUAAAGGGUGCGUAGGCGGCUGAUUAAGUCAGUGCUGAAAGCCCCCGGCUUAACCGGGGAGGUGGCAUUGAUACUGGUCGGCUUGAGUGCUGUCGAGGCAGGCGGAAUUGACGGUGUAGCGGUGAAAUGCUUAGAUAUCGUCAGGAACACCGAUAGUGAAGACAGCUUGCCAGAGAGCAACUGACGCUGAGGCACGAAAGUGUGGGGAGCAAACAGGAUUAGAUACCCUGGUAGUCCACACUGUAAACGAUGAUGACUCGCUGUUGGCGAUAUACGGUCAGCGGCCAAGAGAAAUCGUUAAGUCAUCCACCUGGGGAGUACGCCGGCAACGGUG